RNAcentral lists this ribosomal RNA (192 nucleotides) under uncultured bacterium. RNAcentral's name for it is "partial 16S ribosomal RNA". It matches the Rfam family "Bacterial small subunit ribosomal RNA", at positions 347 to 537 of the family's 1533-position model. The record is from RNAcentral.
UGAGGUGUGAGAUCAUAUCGGACAAUCGGGUUGUGAGCCUGAUCCAGCCAUCCCGCGUGAAGGACGACGGCCCUAUGGGUUGUAAACUUCUUUUGUAUAGGGAUAAACCUACCCUCGUGAGGGUAGCUGAAGGUACUAUACGAAUAAGCACCGGCUAACUCCGUGCCAGCAGCCGCGGUAAUUAAAAUAUAA